RNAcentral lists this ribosomal RNA (864 nucleotides) under 'Musa acuminata' elephantiasis disease phytoplasma. RNAcentral describes it as "bacterial SSU rRNA". It matches the Rfam family "Bacterial small subunit ribosomal RNA", at positions 378 to 1255 of the family's 1533-position model. The record is from RNAcentral. Lineage: Bacteria; Bacillati; Mycoplasmatota; Mollicutes; Acholeplasmatales; Acholeplasmataceae.
GAACUCUGACCGAGCAACGCCGCGUGAACGAUGAAGUAUUCCGGUACGUAAAGUUCUUUUAUUAGGGAAGAAUAAUGAUGGAAAAAUCAUUCUGACGGUACCUAAUGAAUAAGCCCGGCUAACUAUGUGCCAGCAGCCGCGGUAAUACAUAGGGGGCAAGCGUUAUCCGGAAUUAUUGGGCGUAAAGGGUGCGUAGGCGGUUAAAUAAGUUUAUGGUCUAAGUGCAAUGCUUAACAUUGUGAUGCUAUAAAAACUGUUUAACUAGAGUAAGAUAGAGGCAAGUGGAAUUCCAUGUGUAGUGGUAAAAUGCGUAAAUAUAUGGAGGAACACCAGUAGCGAAGGCGGCUUGCUGGGUCUUUACUGACGCUGAGGCACGAAAGCGUGGGGAGCAAACAGGAUUAGAUACCCUGGUAGUCCACGCCGUAAACGAUGAGUACUAAAUGUUGGGUAAAACCAGUGUUGAAGUUAACACAUUAAGUACUCCGCCUGAGUAGUACGUACGCAAGUAUGAAACUUAAAGGAAUUGACGGGACUCCGCACAAGCGGUGGAUCAUGUUGUUUAAUUCGAAGGUACCCGAAAAACCUCACCAGGUCUUGACAUGCUUCUGCAAAGCUGUAGAAACACAGUGGAGGUUAUCAGUUGCACAGGUGGUGCAUGGUUGUCGUCAGCUCGUGUCGUGAGAUGUUGGGUUAAGUCCCGCAACGAGCGCAACCCUUAUUGUUAGUUGCCAGCACGUAAUGGUGGGACUUUAGCAAGACUGCCAGUGAUAAAUUGGAGGAAGGUGGGGACGACGUCAAAUCAUCAUGCCCCUUAUGACCUGGGCUACAAACGUGAUACAAUGGCUGUAACAAGAGUAGCUGAAA